GUCCACGCCGUAAACGGUGGGCGCUAGAUGUGGGGACCUUCCACGGUUUCCGCGUCGCAGCUAACGCAUUAAGCGCCCCGCCUGGGGAGUACGGCCGCAAGGCUAAAACUCAAAGGAAUUGACGGGGGCCCGCACAAGCGGCGGAGCAUGUUGCUUAAUUCGACGCAACGCGAAGAACCUUACCAAGGCUUGACAUCGCCGGAAAACUCGCAGAGAUGCGGGGUCCUUUUGGGCCGGUGACAGGUGGUGCAUGGCUGUCGU
RNAcentral lists this ribosomal RNA (261 nucleotides) under uncultured bacterium. RNAcentral's name for it is "partial 16S ribosomal RNA". It matches the Rfam family "Bacterial small subunit ribosomal RNA", at positions 793 to 1055 of the family's 1533-position model. The record is from RNAcentral.